UGCUGGGCUGGUAACUAUUCCAGGAUUCAACAUAUAUAAGACUGAGAAAUUAAUAGGUGCAAUAAUAUGACAUGGUUGCGUGCUGAUGGAGUAAUAAUUAUCUGAAACUAUUGGAUGUCAAUUUUUCACAGUUGUGAUUAAAACAUCAAAUUAUUACUUUUAGAUAUAUUUUUAACCAGACUAAGAUUUUAUUUUUAUCCUAUCAGUAGUUUUGUCAAUGUCAUCACAAUUGACAUUAUUUGAUAAAAGUGUUUAGUUUUUAGAGGAGCCAAAGAUAACAUUAAAUUGAGAAUGGAAAUGGGGAAUGUGCCAAAGAGACAACAACCCGACCAUAGAGCAGACAACAGCAGAAGGUCACCAACAGGUCUUCAAUGUAGCGAGAAAUUCCCGCACCCGGAGGCGUCUUUCAGCUGGCCCCUAAACAAAUAUAUACUAGUUCAGUGAUAAUGAAUGCCAUACUAAUUUCCAAAUUGUACACAAGAAACUAAAAUUAAAAUAAUACAAGACUAACAAAGGCCAGAGGCUCCUGACUUGGGACAGGGCGCAAAAAUGCGGCGGGGUUAAACAUGUUUGUGAGAUCUCAACCCUCCCCCUAUACCUCUAGCCAAUGUAGAAAAGUAAACGCAUAACAAUACGC
Molecule: long non-coding RNA, 637 nt
Filed under: Mytilus galloprovincialis (Mediterranean mussel)
Lineage: Eukaryota; Metazoa; Mollusca; Bivalvia; Mytilida; Mytilidae
Source: RNAcentral